GGGGCGCUGGGGCUCUCCCUCCCCCUCCCUUCCUCCAUCCCUACACUUCGAGAGAUGGGAUGGAAACCUGUGGGACAGGGCAAGAAUUGUAUCCGGGUGCUUUCUGCAGGCAGCAAAGGUCCUACCGGAGAUACUCCAGCUACCUCUGGUCCUGAAGGAGGCCGAAGCCAUCUUCCCCCAGCUCUUCCUGGCCCUCCUCCUGCAAGUGUCCUUCACCGUGAACCUGACACAGCAGGAGGUGGAAAUCUUCUUCGAGGCGCACCAGCAGCACCAGCUCACUCCCAUCAGGUGCCACAUCCCAGUCCUCCCGCUGCACCCAGGCACCCGGUGCUGGGGCUCCCGAUGUGACUUACACCCUUCUCCACCUGCAGGGCUGUGGUGCAGUCCUUGAAGGUGCUGCUCUGCAGCGUGGGCCUCCAGAGGCAGAUGGAGGCCAUCCAGGAGCAGGGCGGCUGGGACGCGCUUCUCAGCACUGUGACCCACCUCCAGGGUGUACAGGUGGUGGCCAGGUGAGAACUCCUCCCUCAGGGUGGCAGGGGGUCCCCAGUUCUCUGAGAAAGUGCUGCCACAGCACCACCACAGCCUGUGGCCCCUGCGGCGUUGGCAAGAGGGCUGCACAGCCAGAGCUGCGUCCCCCUGGCUCGGGGCUCACGGUGCCUUCUUAUCCCUGCCAGGGUGAUGAGAGAGCUGCCUGGUGCUCUGCGUGACCCCAUCUUCCACCACCUGGUUGAGCUGCUCAGCACCAGCUUCUUCUACUCCUGGGAGACGGUGGCCAUGGUCUUCCUCAUUGAGGUGAGCACCAACUGCAGAAGCGGCGAACUUGAGGCUGCAACGCCACUGGUGGCACGAGUCCUGCUGCCUCCCUCGGGACCAGGCUUGGCCAUGCCUUGCUGUCUUUCCCCAAGCGGGUUGCUGGAUCCAGCACUAAGAGCCGCAUGUGUUGCAGAUGCUGGACUGCGUGGACCUCAACAAAGAGCUGCACCGCAUCAUGAUACUCUUUACCACCUAUCUGCAGAGCCAGAGCGUGGGCAUGCAGCAGCUGGUGCUCAGGGGCAUUCUGAAGCUGAGCCAGAGGCAGGACACGGUGAGCAGGGGCGGCCAGGAAUGCCACAGGUGCCACAGGUCGGGCUAGGCCUGCCAUGGGGCUGUAGCAGAGCCAUCUGCAGCUCAGCACCUCUCCAUGCAGUGAGGAGCUGGUGCUCGCUGCCCAUCCCAUUGCUGCCUGCUGUCCACGGGGCUGGUACUGGAGUGGUUUUGCCCUCACUGUGCUUGCUGCUCUACCUAAAGGAAGGGGUGUUCUUCCCACAGGCAAGGCCAAUGAUCAUCUUCCUGCCGUGCGUCAUGGAGCUGCUGCAGGACGCAGACAGCGACAUCCGUGCCGUGGCCUUACCAAUACUCAGCAACCUGCUGCAGCUCCUGGAGGGGCUCAAGCUCAGCCUCAUGGCUCUGGCUCUGGCCGGCAAGCUCCCGGCGCUCAUUAAUGAUGUAAGGAUAGUAGGGAGCCCAGCACAUUAGGGAUGUGGCUACCACCUCAGCGUGCCCAUGCCUGCUGCCCUGUGACAGCACACCAGGGGACUUCCUGGCCGCUCACCAGGUCCAGGGGCUGAGUGGCCCUGGGCAGACUUUCUGCAGGGCAGAGCUUGUGCACUUUGGAGCAGUUCUGGGGGCAUCCUCAAGAUCUGCCUGCAGCCUCUCAGCUCAGAGAUUCUGCCCCCACUUCAUUGGCGGUGCUGGCCCUGCUUGCCAUGGCCCUGGAGCUGCUGACACCGACGUCCUUCCUUCCUCCUCCACAGGAGUCCAGCACGGUGCGGCAACUCUCCAUCGACCUCUUCCUCGAAACGCUCAACUACGUGGAGGACCAAGAAAAGAGGAAGAUGCAGGAGGAGGUGUGCAGGAGCCUGGUCCUGCUGUAUCUGCACCUGCAUGAUGAGGAAGAGAGCGUGGCCAAGGCCUCCCAGAAAGCCCUCCUUGGUGCCGCACGGUUCCUGCGCUGGAGGCGGCUGGAGCACCUGGUACAGACAGCACAGUUCUGGCAGAUCGGCGAGUGCAUGGUAUGCACAUUCCCACACCCCACGACAGGGUCGGGACCGCCCUGCGCUAACCCUGCGCUCUUCCCACUCCAGCUGGACAAGAGGAGGAGGAAGAGUGCAGCACAGGAGUACCUGGGCCAGAGCCUGCUCUACCUACAGAGCCCGCAGGAGUCCCUGCGGCGGGAGGCCGUGAGGUUCAUCGGUGAGCCACGAGACUGAGGUUCCCCUGUCCCCGGCCCACCAUGCUGCACCAGGCAGAAGCUGGGGUCGCUGAUGGGGCUGUUUGUCACCAGGACUCUUAGGGCAGCACAUGAGGGAUCAGGAGCAGGCUGAGACAGAGUACAUCUACCAACGUGAGUCAGGGAGUGGGAUGUCCGGACAGCCGGCAGGCAACGUGCCUGUCCCCUGCUCCCUCCUAUCGGAGGGGAUGGCUGGGCGCCCUGCAGGUACACAGCUGUCAUCGAGCCUCUGUUCCUCUGUUCUCUCAGGCCUUCAGGAAGCGCAGCAAGACCCCAGUCCAUUUGUCUCUUCGCUGGCCCUUCAGACACUGAAGAUCCUGAAGGAAACGAGGCCACGUCCACCGCAAGGAGACUUUGGGCAGCUCUUCUCCAGGCUCCGCAGCGCGUGGAGAAGGUGGCGCUCCUCUCGGGCACACCGCUGAGUGCCCUGCAAAGCUCCCAGCAUCUCCUCCUGCACACUGCUCAGCUCCGCUCCUCCGGCACAUCCCUUCCCCAGUGCUGUGCAGCUCUUCACCCCGCACUGCCAUCUCCAUCAGCACGAUUGCCUGUCUUCUCUGUGUGAAAUGGGAAAACAACGCAGGAGAUCAGCAUUGCCCUGAGAGGAACAGAACGUGCAGCGCUCCCUGCCGCUGCCACACGCUUUCAGCCAACACCAGCAAUCACCAACUGCUCUGCUGCAAAACGGAGUGGUAA
Molecule: long non-coding RNA, 2962 nt
Organism: Gallus gallus (chicken)
Lineage: Eukaryota; Metazoa; Chordata; Aves; Galliformes; Phasianidae
Source: Ensembl